Molecule: ribosomal RNA, 466 nt
Filed under: uncultured bacterium
Lineage: Bacteria
Description: partial 16S ribosomal RNA
Rfam family: Bacterial small subunit ribosomal RNA
Source: RNAcentral
GACGAACGCUGGCGGCGCGCCUAACACAUGCCAGUCGAACGAGCGAGCGAGAGCUUGCUUUCUCAAGCGAGUGGCGAACGGGUGAGUAACGCGUGAGGAACCUGCCUCAAAGAGGGGGACAACAGUUGGAAACGACUGCUAAUACCGCAUAAGCCCACAGGUCGGCAUCGACCAGAGGGAAAAGGAGCAAUCCGCUUUGAGAUGGCCUCGCGUCCGAUUAGCUAGUUGGUGAGGUAACGGCCCACCAAGGCAACGAUCGGUAGCCGGACUGAGAGUUUGAACGGCCACAUUGGGACUGAGACACGGCCCAGACUCCUACGGGAGGCAGCAGUGGGGAAUAUUGCACAAUGGGGGAAACCCUGAUGCAGCGACGCCGCGUGGAGGAAGAAGGUCUUCGGAUUGUAAACUCCUGUUGUUGAGGAAGAUAAUGACGGUACUCAACAAGGAAGUGACGGCUAACUACGUG